RNAcentral lists this small nuclear RNA (98 nucleotides) under Otolemur garnettii (small-eared galago). The record is from RNAcentral. Lineage: Eukaryota; Metazoa; Chordata; Mammalia; Primates; Galagidae.
GUGCUAGCUUUGACAGCACAAUACUAAUAUUGGAACAAUAUAGAGAUUAGGUGGCCCUGCACAAGGAUACACAAAUUUGUGAAGCAGUCUAUAUUUUG